Molecule: ribosomal RNA, 544 nt
Filed under: uncultured bacterium
Lineage: Bacteria
Description: bacterial SSU rRNA
Rfam family: Bacterial small subunit ribosomal RNA
Source: RNAcentral
AAUAGAUACCCAGGUAGUCCACGCCGUAAACGUUGGGCGCUAGAUGUGGGGACCAUUCCACGGUUUCCGUGUCGCAGCUAACGCAUUAAGCGCCCCGCCUGGGGAGUACGGCCGCAAGGCUAAAACUCAAAGGAAUUGACGGGGGCCCGCACAAGCGGCGGAGCAUGCGGAUUAAUUCGAUGCAACGCGAAGAACCUUACCAAGGCUUGACAUAUACCUGAAAAGGCUGGAAACAGUCUCCCCGCAAGGCACGUACACGGGAAGUUAGGGUGCAUGGUUGUCGUCAGCUCGUGUCGUGAGAUGUUGGGUUAAGUCCCGCAACGAGCGCAACCCUCGUUCUAUGUUGCCAGCGCGUAAUGGCGGGAACUCAUAGGAGACUGCCGGGGUCAACUCGGAGGAAGGUGGGGAUGACGUCAAAUCAUCAUGCCCCUUAUGUCUUGGGCUUCACGCAUGCUACAAUGGCCGGUACAAAGGGCUGCAAUACCGCAAGGUGGAGCGAAUCCCGAAAAAGCCGGUCUCAGUUCGGAUUGAGGUCUGCAACUCG